This 216-nucleotide ribosomal RNA is filed under the name uncultured bacterium. RNAcentral's name for it is "partial 16S ribosomal RNA". It matches the Rfam family "Bacterial small subunit ribosomal RNA", at positions 524 to 739 of the family's 1533-position model. The record is from RNAcentral.
UACGUAGGAGACGAGCGUUGUCCGGAGUUACUGGGCGUAAAGAGCGCGCAGGCGGUCGUUCAAGUCGAGUGUGAAAGCCCCCGGCUCAACUGGGGAGGGUCACUCGAUACUGAUCGACUUGAAGGCAGGAGAGGGAAGCGGAAUUCCCGGUGUAGUGGUGAAAUGCGUAGAUAUCGGGAGGAACACCAGUGGCGAAGGCGGCUCCUUGGCCUGUCC